AGUGAACGCUGGCGGUAGGCCUAACACAUGCAAGUCGAACGGCAGCACAGUAAGAGCUUGCUCUUACGGGUGGCGAGUGGCGGACGGGUGAGGUAUACAUCGGAAUCUACUUUUUCGUGGGGGAUAACGUAGGGAAACUUACGCUAAUACCGCAUACGACCUACGGGUGAAAGCAGGGGAUCUUCGGACCUUGCGCGAUUGAAUGAGCCGAUGUCGGAUUUGCUAGUUGGCGGGGUAAAGGCCCACCAAGGCGACGAUCCGUAGCUGGGCUGAGAGGAUGAUCAGCCACACUGGAACUGAGACACGGUCCAGACUCCUAGGGGAGGCAGCAGUGGGGAAUAUUGGACAAUGGGCGCAAGCCUGAUCCAGCCAUGCCGCGUGGGUGAAGAAGGCCUUCGGGUUGUAAAGCCCUUUUGUUGGGAAAGAAAGGCAGCAAGUUAAUACCCCGCUGUUCUGACGGUACCAAAAGAAUAAGCACCGGCUAACUUCGUG
Molecule: ribosomal RNA, 492 nt
Filed under: uncultured bacterium
Lineage: Bacteria
Description: partial 16S ribosomal RNA
Rfam family: Bacterial small subunit ribosomal RNA
Source: RNAcentral